CAGCCGCCGCGGUAAUACGUAGGGUGCGAGCGUUAAUCGGAUUUACUGGGCGUAAAGCGUGCGCAGGCGGCCCGUUAAGACAGGUGUGAAAUCCCUGGGCUCAACCUAGGAAUUGCGCUUGUGACUGGCGGGCUCGAGUACGGUAGAGGGGGGUGGAAUUCCUGGUGUAGCAGUGAAAUGCGUAGAGAUCAGGAGGAACACCGAUGGCGAAGGCAGCCCCCUGGGCCUGUACUGACGCUCAUGCACGAAAGCGUGGGGAGCAAACAGGAUUAGAUGCCCUGGUAGUCCACGCCCUAAACGAUGGGUACUAGCCGUUUGGUGCGCGAGAGCGCUGAGUGGCGAAGCUAACGCGUGAAGUACCCCGCCUGGGGAGUACGGCCGCAAGGUUGAAACUUAAAGGAAUUGGCGGG
RNAcentral lists this ribosomal RNA (410 nucleotides) under uncultured microorganism. Its description in RNAcentral is "bacterial SSU rRNA". It matches the Rfam family "Bacterial small subunit ribosomal RNA", at positions 509 to 917 of the family's 1533-position model. The record is from RNAcentral.